CUUGGUCAUUUAGAGGAAGUAAAAGUCGUAACAAGGUCUCCGUAGGUGAACCUGCGGAGGGAUCAUUACACAAAUAUGAAGGCGGGCUGGAACCUCUCGGGGUUACAGCCUUGCUGAAUUAUUCACCCUUGUCUUUUGCGUACUUCUUGUUUCCUUGGUGGGUUCGCCCACCACUAGGACAAACAUAAACCUUUUGUAAUUGCAAUCAGCGUCAGUAACAAAUUAAUAAUUACAACUUUCAACAACGGAUCUCUUGGUUCUGGCAUCGAUGAAGAACGCAGCGAAAUGCGAUAAGUAGUGUGAAUUGCAGAAUUCAGUGAAUCAUCGAAUCUUUGAACGCACAUUGCGCCCUUUGGUAUUCCAAAGGGCAUGCCUGUUCGAGCGUCAUUUGUACCCUCAAGCUUUGCUUGGUGUUGGGCGUCUUGUCUCUAGCUUUGCUGGAGACUCGCCUUAAAGUAAUUGGCAGCCGGCGUAUAGAUUUCGGAGCGCAGCACAAAACGCGCUUUGAUAACCAGUACGACGGCGUCCAGUAAGCCUUUUUUCAACUCUUGACCUCGGAUCAGGUAGGGAUACCCGCUGAACUUAAGCAUAUCAAUAAGCGGAGGA
This 606-nucleotide ribosomal RNA is filed under the name uncultured fungus. RNAcentral's name for it is "eukaryotic LSU rRNA". The stretch from base 234 to 387 matches the Rfam family "5.8S ribosomal RNA". Lineage: Eukaryota; Fungi. The record is from RNAcentral.